UCGUCAGCUCGUGUCGUGAGAUGUUGGGUUAAGUCCCGCAACGAGCGUAACCCUCAUCCUUAGUUGCCAUCAGGUAAUGCUGAGCACUUUAAGGAAACUGCUAGUGAUAAACUGGAGGAAGGUGGGGAUGAUGUCAAGUCAUCAUGGCCCUUAUGGAGUGGGCUACACACGUGCUACAAUGGUGGCUACAAUGGGCUGCAAAGUCGCGAGGCCAAGCUAAUCCCUUAAAAGCCAUCUCAGUUCGGAUUGUACUCUGCAACUCGAGUGCAUGAAGUUGGAAUCGCUAGUAAUCGUGGAUCAGCAUGCCACGGUGA
This 314-nucleotide ribosomal RNA is filed under the name uncultured Wolbachia sp. Its description in RNAcentral is "bacterial SSU rRNA". It matches the Rfam family "Bacterial small subunit ribosomal RNA", at positions 1052 to 1365 of the family's 1533-position model. Lineage: Bacteria; Pseudomonadati; Pseudomonadota; Alphaproteobacteria; Rickettsiales; Anaplasmataceae. The record is from RNAcentral.